UACGAAAGCGGUUCGCGGUGUUCGGAAUUCCUGGGCGUAAAGCGCACGUAGGCGGCCUUGUAAGAUGGGGGUGAAAUCCCCGGGCUCAACCCGGGAACUGCCUUCAUGACUGCAAAGCUAGAGGAUGCGAGAGGUUAGCGGAAUUCCGAGUGUAGAGGUGAAAUUCGUAGAUAUUCGGAAGAACACCAGUGGCGAAGGCGGCUAACUGGCGCAUUUUUGACGCUGAGGUGCGAAAGCGUGGGGAGCAAACAGG
This 253-nucleotide ribosomal RNA is filed under the name uncultured bacterium. RNAcentral's name for it is "partial 16S ribosomal RNA". It matches the Rfam family "Bacterial small subunit ribosomal RNA", at positions 524 to 776 of the family's 1533-position model. The record is from RNAcentral.